This 1229-nucleotide ribosomal RNA is filed under the name metagenome. RNAcentral describes it as "bacterial SSU rRNA". It matches the Rfam family "Bacterial small subunit ribosomal RNA", at positions 277 to 1498 of the family's 1533-position model. The record is from RNAcentral.
CGAUGGGUAGCCGACCUGAGAGGGUGACCGGCCACACUGGGACUGAGACACUGCCCAGACUCCUACGGGAGGCUGCAGUCGAGAAUCAUCCGCAAUGGGCGAAAGCCUGACGGUGCGACGCCGCGUGGAGGAAGAAGGCCUUCGGGUUGUAAACUCCUGUCACGGGUUAAGAAACGCACGGGGGUAACGCUUCGUGCUUGACGAAACCGAAAGGAAGCCACGGCUAACUCCGUGCCAGCAGCCGCGGUAACACGGAGGUGGCGAGCGUUGUUCGGUAUCACUGGGCUUAAAGGGGGCGCAGGCGGCCCUGUAAGUCGGUAUGUGAAAUCCCUCGGCCCAACCGAGGAAUUGCGUCCGAUACUGCAGAGCUAGAGGCUCGUAGGGGAGAGUGGAAUUCCUGGUGUAGCGGUGAAAUGCGUAGAUAUCAGGAGGAACGCCAGUGGCGAAGGCGACUCUCUGGGCGAGACCUGACGCUGAGGCCCGAAAGCCAGGGGAGCGAACAGGAUUAGAUACCCUGGUAGUCCUGGCUGUAAACGAUGGGCACUACGUAGGGGGGGCUUCGGUUCCCUCUGCCUAAGCAAAAGUAUUAAGUGCCCCGCCUGGGGAGUAUGGUCGCAAGGCUGAAACUCAAAGUAAUUGACGGGGGCUCACACAAGCGGUGGAGGAUGUUGUUUAAUUCGAAACAACGCGAAGAACCUUACCGGGGCUUGAACUGCACGGAUUAUCUCUGUGAAAGCAGAGUACGCCCUAUCGGGUGGAACGUGUAGAGGUGUUGCAUGGCUGUCGUCAGCUCGUGUCGUGAGAUGUCGGGUUAAGUCCCAUAACGAGCGAAACCCUUGUCCCUAGUUGCCAGCACCUCGGGUGGGGACUCUAGGGAGACUGCCGGUGUUAAACCGGAGGAAGGUGGGGAUGACGUCAAGUCAGCAUGGCCCUUAUGUCCCGGGCUACAAACGUCCUACAAUGGGCGGUACAAAGGGAACCGAAGCCGUGAGGCAGGGGAAAUCCCCUAAAGCCGUCCUCAGUUCGGAUUGCAGGCUGCAAUUCGCCUGCAUGAAGCUGGAAUCGCUAGUAAUCGCGGAUCAGCACGCCGCGGUGAAUAUGUUCCUGAGCCUUGUACACACCGCCCGUCAAGCCACGAGAAUUCGGGAUACCCGAAGUCGCUCACCCAACCGCAAGGGGGGAGGCGCCGAAGGUGAACCGGGUGAUCGGGACUAAGUCGUAACAAGGUA